Molecule: ribosomal RNA, 511 nt
Filed under: Aspergillus amstelodami
Lineage: Eukaryota; Fungi; Ascomycota; Eurotiomycetes; Eurotiales; Aspergillaceae
Description: eukaryotic LSU rRNA
Rfam family: 5.8S ribosomal RNA (bases 175-328)
Source: RNAcentral
UUCCGUAAAUGAACCUGCGGAAGGAUCAUUACCGAGUGCGGGCCCUCUGGGUCCAACCUCCCAUCCGUGUCUAUCUGUACCCUGUUGCUUCGGCGUGGCCACGGCCCGCCGGAGACUAACAUUUGAACGCUGUCUGAAGUUUGCAGUCUGAGUUUUUAGUUAAACAAUCGUUAAAACUUUCAACAACGGAUCUCUUGGUUCCGGCAUCGAUGAAGAACGCAGCGAAAUGCGAUAAUUAAUGUGAAUUGCAGAAUUCAGUGAAUCAUCGAGUCUUUGAACGCACAUUGCGCCCCCUGGUAUUCCGGGGGGCAUGCCUGUCCGAGCGUCAUUGCUGCCCUCAAGCACGGCUUGUGUGUUGGGCUUCCGUCCCUGGCAACGGGGACGGGCCCAAAAGGCAGUGGCGGCACCAUGUCUGGUCCUCGAGCGUAUGGGGCUUUGUCACCCGCUCCCGUAGGUCCAGCUGGCAGCUAGCCUCGCAACCAAUCUUUUUUAACCAGGUGACCUCGGAUCA